CGGACGGGUGAGUAACGCGUGGGCAACCUGCCUCAUACAGGGGGAUAACAGUUAGAAAUGACUGCUAAUACCGCAUAAGACCACGGUACUGCAUGGUACAGUGGUAAAAACUCCGGUGGUAUGAGAUGGGCCCGCGUCUGAUUAGCUAGUUGGUGAGGUAACGGCUCACCAAGGCAACGAUCAGUAGCCGACCUGAGAGGGUGACCGGCCACAUUGGGACUGAGACACGGCCCAAACUCCUACGGGAGGCAGCAG
RNAcentral lists this ribosomal RNA (255 nucleotides) under uncultured bacterium. RNAcentral describes it as "partial 16S ribosomal RNA". It matches the Rfam family "Bacterial small subunit ribosomal RNA", at positions 99 to 354 of the family's 1533-position model. The record is from RNAcentral.